RNAcentral lists this long non-coding RNA (34117 nucleotides) under Citrus sinensis (sweet orange). RNAcentral's name for it is "long non-coding RNA (CSIN_LNC002327)". The record is from RNAcentral. Lineage: Eukaryota; Viridiplantae; Streptophyta; Magnoliopsida; Sapindales; Rutaceae.
AAAAAGAAAGACAAGAAAGAGAAUAAGAAAAAAGACAAGGACAAAGAAGAGAAGAUAAAGAGCAGUACCGAGAAGAAAGAUAAGAAACACAAGGACAAAGCGGACGAGGACAGAGAAUGUGAUCGUGAAGAUGACGAGCAAGAAGAGAAAAAGGAAAGGAAGAAGGAUAAGGAGAUGAAAGAGAAGAAGAACAAAGAUGAAGAAGGUGAGGAAGAGGAAGAAAAGAAGAAGAAAAAGAUUAAAGAUGAGGAGAAAGAAGUGAAGAAGAUGAAAGGUAAGGAGAAGAAAGAUAGCAAGAAGCAGGACGAAGAAGAUGAAGAGGAGGAAGAAAAAAAGAAGAAAGAAAAGAAGCACAAAUAUGAAUUAGUGAAGGAUAAAGACAGUGAUGGGGAAAAGGGUGAGGUAGUAGUAACCACCAGGGAGAUUCAAAUAGAAGAAAGUGGGAAGGAAUCACAAGGUGAAGGACAAGACCAGCAGAAAGAUGAAGGCAAAGAGAAGAAAAAAGAAAAGGACAAGAAGGACGGCAAGAAGAGAAAACUAGAUGGAAAGGGUAAGAGCAAGGAUAUUGGCAAGCUAAAACAGAAGUUGGAGAAUGUUAAUGCCAAAAUAGAGGCUCUCAUCGAGAAAAAGGCAGAUAUUAUGAGGCAAAUUCAAGAAGCUGAACGCGAGAGCAGUGGCACAACCGAGAAGGAGACAGAUAAAGCUAGCUGAUUAUCAUAGCACUGUUGUAGGUGUGUUGCACUUAAGCUACUGUUGUAAUAAAAUAACAUGUUCAUGUGUCUCCCACAUAUGACUGAAUAAACCUCAGAACUCGAUAUGACGAAUAAAAAAAGCCUAUAUCUAUUUCGACGAUAAAUAAAAGUUGCUUGGCUUCCUUAUCACGGUAACAAUAUUAUUUAGUUGUAUGUUUAUCAUAUAAUUUUUGCAUUCCUAUCUGCUCUUUCCUUUCACUUUUUGAUGAAAUUAAAUCUUAGGUGCAUUGCCAACUGGAAGUAAACCUGAUAGGUAGAAUCAGUAAUGUCUCUGUAGAAGCUAGAUGUUGAAUGAUUAAGGUUCUAUUUGACGCAUCACCUGUGAAUAUUUGCUAUUGUUUAUCCAAAAACAAUAGUUUCACUAAAAUUGACAAGUUCAAACACACUCCAGCAUUUGAAUCAGCAAUUUUAGUGAAACUAUUGUUUCAAUUAUGAAUUAUGCAUCAGGCAAUGGGUAUAUGUGAAAUCCAUGGCCCUUAUGUUUAUAACAUGCGCAUACAAUAGCAGUUACAUUAUAAUUUGAUUUGAAGUUGGCCUUAUACAAUCACAUGUAGCCAGACUUAUUUACAAUCAGUAUAACGAAAAUCUUCUGCGUAACACUCUAGCAAGAAUUCUUGUAAUCACUCCAUCUAAUUUCUUUUUUAUUCUAUUAAUCACUAUAAAUACCAAUUUGAGGAAGUUUCUUAUAACAAGCAUGAAAAAACUAGCUUGUCUGUCUAGACUUGGUAGUGAGGCCAAAUCCAAAUGGGAAGAGAGGAUCAUAAUGUGGAUCUCCAACAUUCAUUGGCAGCUGAUCAACAGUCUUGAACCAUGUACGCGGAAGCUUGCCAGUGAAAUCGUAGUCACCAAACAGAACAUCAGCAACACCUUGACCCUCAGUUCCAGGGAGCCAAGCUGCAACAAGAGCAUCAAUGUAUGAAAGAUACGGUUGGAUCACAACAGGACGGCCAGAGAUUACGACAACAACACAUUCCACAGCUCCACAAACGUUUGUGAUGGUGUUAGGACCAGGGUCGGCAAUAUUCAGGUUCAUGCUGUCGCCGUUUGUCUCUGCAUAUGGGUGCUCUCCAACUACCACAAUGGCAUAUGAGAAGUUGUUGGACUUCACAAAGUUGGCAUCUGGAUUCUCCUGAUAGACAACUUCAGUUUGUUGAUCAACAGUAUUUUUAAUGGCAUUGAGUAUUGUAGUACCUGCGCAUUAGACGGACCAUGUUAGUUGGUCUUACCCAUAAUAACUUGUUGUAUAAAAGUUCUUAUCAGCAACAUUAGCCAUCUAUUUUACCUCUAGUGAGGUCGUUGCCACUAAGUCCCUGCCACUCAAUUGUCCAGCCACCACACUGAUAACCCAGAUUGUCAGCAUGGCUGCCAGCAACUAGUAUCUUUGAUGUUUUUUUAGGAAGGGGUAGUAUCUUUGAUGUCUUUUUAGGAAGAGGUAGUAAUGGAACCUCAGUUGAAUCACCAUUCUUUAGCAGCACAAGUGAUUUUCUUACAGCUUCCCUAGCCAGUUCUCUAUGCUCCUGCUUCGGUAACAGGAUGAAUGAGAAUACUUUUGAGACCCGUGCAACAUAGAGGUAAAAUAGUAGUUUAGUAACUAACCUGACUUCCCAGCUGAUCAACCAGGCUAUCAUCAGCCAAUGGAUUCUCGAAUAAACCCAUCACAAAUUUGACUCGCAAAAUUCUUCUCACUGCAUCAUCAAUUCUGCUCAUAGGUAUGAUGUUAUUCUUCACUUGGAAGGUCAGAUCAUCUAUGAAUUCUAUAUAGUUAUAGGGGACCAUGACCUGGAGCACGUUCAAAACAAAGAAUUAAAAUAGACUUGAUGAAAAUUUAUAAAAGUUUUGUUAUAGCACCUAAGCAAAGCCUAUGAACUGACCAUGUCAAUGCCAGCCUUGAUUCCUACUUCAACGGAAUAUGAGUAGUUAGCAUGAGGUGGAGAUGUGAUCCUGUCCAGACCUUCCCAAUCUGUGAUGACAAAACCCUGAAGAAAAUUUUCCGCAGUCAGUCAUCAAUUCAGUUGCUUCCUUUUCAAGUAAAAUAAAAAUACAGAGAUGUCCAUAGGAUGUGUCAAAAGAACGAAUUUUUUACCCUAAAUUGAAGAGUAUUUUUCAGAAAACCAGUGACAAGUUCCUGAUUAGCAUGCAUCUUAAUUCCAUUCCAGCUAGAGUAGGAGACCAUGACAGUUGAGACACCCUUGAUAAUUGAGUUGUAGUAUGCAGGCAUGUGUAUUGCGAGCAAACCGUGUCUGUCUAUGAUAGUGUUGUUCUCAUUUACUCCAUUUAUUGUCCCACCAUCACCUACAAAGUGCUUAGCACAAGCUGCAACCUUUGUUCUGUUGCAAAACAAUCAAAUCAUCAUUUCGUUAUGCGCAUUCUAUAUGAAUCUCUUUGAUCGUAUCUGUCAUUUGAGAAAGGAAGAAGAUAAAUAAUAUGCAAUAAACAUCUGCAAAUUAGAGAUGGUGCUUCUAAAUAUCUUACUUUCCAGCAACAUAGGGGACACCCUUUGGGGACCCAGCAGGAAUGUCCCCCUGGAGUCCAGGUAUAAGCUCAGUCAUCGCCUGGACGAUCUUGGGGUCUUCGCUGUAGCUUUCAUAGCAUCGACCCCAUCUUGGAUCCCUGCAGACCUGAACAAACAAAACAAAUAUAAGGAAUCGCCAUUUGCACAGAUGGAUUUUCAUUUUCUUUUAUGUAAAUCAGUAUUUAAAAUCUGAUAGGUACCGCAAUACAAGGUGCAAAAGUAUAUGGAAUGCCUGUAGCUCGAACUUCAAGUGCAGUUGCAGCUCCAAUCCUUUUAACAAGAUCGGGGUCCCUGGAUGAAUCAACAGAAUGUUAACUCAUGUCGGAUUUACAAAACCAAGUUUAAAGAGAACAAUAUCAUCCACAGAGCUACAUCCACUUGCCUUGUAGCUCCAAGGCCUAUAUUGUGAGGAAAAAUUGUAGCGUUGUAAACAUUGUUAUGACCAUGAACAGCAUCAAUCCCAUAAAUCAUUGGAAUCCCAAGUCGCGUGGAUAAAGCACCCUUCUGAAAAUCAUUGAUUAUGUUAAUCCAAGCCUCAGCAGAAGCCUGUCUUGCCGGAGCACUCCCUCCUCCAGUCAAAACACUCCCUGCCGAAAACUUAAAAUUCUUUAAAAACUUCUUUAGACAUAUUUCAUCAAUCAUCAAUCUGUUAGCGUUGCUUGCUUACCUAUGAAGUAUUUCUUCAUCACCUCAGCUGAAGCAACACCACGUUCAAUCUGUGUCAUUUGGCCUAUCUUUUCCUCCAAAGUCAUCCUGCUAACCAGAUCGUUCACUCGGACAUGUAAUGGCUGCUUGGGAUCUUUAUAUUUCAGGUAUUCUGCUUCUGCCAAGCAACACAAGAGCAGAAGCCCCAUCAAGGAGAUGAGAGUUCUAGCCAUAUUUUCGUAAACCAACCUUCAAAGCUGAAAAAAACCGGAAAUGUCCAUUAAAUUCCCAUUUGAGACAAGACAAAAAAAAAAUGUAAAAUUUGUUCUCUACAUUGAAGACUAAUUAAUUAUAAGUGAUUGAAAUAAAAAAACAAAGAGACUGGCUAAUUAACAAAUGAAGACAGAAUAUUAUGAGGAACAUAAGAAUAUAUGAAUGGGCGCAUACACAAACACAGAAACCAUAAAACGUAAAAUUGAAAAUUCAAAGCUGUGUACAUCCAAACAAAAGUGAAAGAAUAUCUUUUAGGUGACCAUUGCAUUUGGCUUUCGUAAUAAUGAAGCUUGAUUGUUAUUAUUCUUAUCAUUAUUAUAAUUAUUUAAACAAAAAAGAGUCAUAGGGGACUCAUAUGAAUGAACCGCGUCAGUCUUUAAGCAACAGAGGUUUCUUGUUUUCCUACAUUUUCUCAGAAAACAAACAGAGGAUUAACUGAAAGCAGCAGUGCAUACACAGAAAGUUCAAGAAAAAUGCGAGAAAUGAAAAGAAAGAUUACAACUUACAUUGAAAUAAAUAUACCCAAAAGAUUAGUCUGUUUGUUAUGUCUCAGUUUCACAAAUGGGGACUCAAAAAAAUUGUCUCCUUGAAAUGGGAAGCAGCAGUUUGUACGACAAUGCUGCAGAGCUUGAGCUGGUAUUUAUAGAAACUUGCUCCUUAAUUUACUUUUCUAAAACAACAUGGUUGUUACGUGGAAGGAUGAAAUUCAGUUGUGGUAGUGUACACUAACGGUCAACAAAUAUAUAUCUAGACAAUAAAAUGAUCCAAUUCUUCCGAGGUAAUAGGUUGUUCAAACUUCCUCUUGCAUAGAUAAAGAAAGAAUCUUGAAUCUAACUUAAAUUCAAUUCUUAAUUUCAAUAUUACAGUGUAAUUUUAUUGAUAUUACAAUUAAAAGUCCAUCACUGAUCAGGCUUGAUCCCCACAAUGACAAAAAAAUAUUUGAAAAUAACCCUUGAUGAGCACAACAAUGACGAAUAAAGUAACUGGAAAAACUGUCCCAAAAUCACAGGAAACUACUCGAAAUAUGAUGAAAAAAAAUAAAAAGAAUGCAUUCACAUUUUGAUGAUUGAACCUGAAGAAAAGAACGUGAUUGAAUUCAGGGUAAUUCACGCAAGCCCGACUGGAGUGGAUAGGGUUUAUUACAAUUCAAAGUUGGAUAAGAUACACAAAUUCUACAACUGCAACAAAACAAUAAUCAAACUCACGUCAUCGUGCUAUGUCGAGUUUCAACUGAAUUUAUUGAUUUUAUCCGCACAAACAUCUUUUUUCAACUCGGUCGGUUUGAUUUGUUUUCCUUAAAAUCUUUCAAAAUAAUCGCCUGUCAGUUUUUCUUGAGCAUUUCUUACAAGCCAAGAUAUAAGAUCGCUGUGACAAGUACAUUUUUUUCUGAUGAUAAUUUGAUUAAUUAAAAAUUAAAAAAUUGGCAACUUGUGCGUUGGGUACUUUUUUUUUUCGUUUUUAAAUAAAGGUAGUUGUUUUAAACACGUCCGUUAAGUGAACUGCUCUUCCAAUACUACCUGUCAAACGAAAUAAUGGUCUGCUUAUUGCUUGCUUGUUGCCUGGCUAGCUUUCACCAAAUCGAUAUUAUUAUAUACGCCCAAUUACUUCUGUUAAAAAUAAUCAAAAGGCAUAGUUUGUCCAGCUUAGCAUUGCAUAUUUGCAUUAAUUAUAAAUCAAUUAGAAGUUGACGUAUGAAUUAUUUUAUCAUCUCUUGUCCGAAUUGAACACCCAAUUUAGUGUAAAACGCCAUUUUGGUUCUUAAGGUUUAAUUCUUCUUUAGUAUGAUUUAUUUAAUGAUCAUAAAUACUUAUUUAAUCUUAUAAAUUCUUAUCAUAAUUUUGGUCGUUAUUUGGUUGUUUUCCUAAUAGAGUUUUUUAAGUUUAAAUAAGCUAUUUUGCCUCUACUAACAAAAUCUCAAAUUUUAAAUUUUUGCGAGUAAAAAUUAAAAAGUUUUUUUUAAAUAUUAAAAUAUCAUCUACUUAUUUGACAAUCUUAUUUUAUUUUUUUUAUAACAUAACUUUAAAAAACUUGUUUAUUAAAGUAAUUUCAUAAAUUUUUAAUAAAAGUUCUUACUAACAACCAAACAACUAAAUUUUUUUUGGUAAAAACUCCAUGUGUAAAAAUCUACUAACAAAAGUUUUAUUUAAAUAAGAUUUACUUGAAAAAUUGUAUCAAAUGGAGCAUUUGUCUAAUUACUUUACCUAAAAUAUCUAUACUUCACAACUUUUAUAGAUGUUAAAUCUGACUUUUUUAAGGAUAUAAUAAAAGAAUUUUUUUUAUUUAAAUUAAAAUUCGAACAGAUGUGACAACCAAUAAGUAAAAAGUAGAUAAGAAUCAAAUAGAUUUCCACAGAGUAUUUUGAGUAAUUUUGAAAAUACCAAAAUUAAUUAAGUAAUUAACUCAAACCUUUGGGACCAGAGAAGCAUAUCCUCAUCCAACAUUUUUUUGUUAUUAUAAUUUAAUACAUCACGUACCAAUUUGGAAAUCAAAUUGGAUAAUGUCGUCGAGUUAAUAAUAUUCUGUUCUAUAUGAAAUACACACGUACGUACAAUGAUCUUGUAUAUGAGAUACAUGCACAAUUAAUGAUCUUGUAGCUUUUGUUGAUAUAGAUGACACGAUGGACCGACGUGGCUAAUAAUCUUAAGAUUAUGGUUAAUUAAUAAAAGUGUCAAUACCCAGAAUUACUUAUCCAUUACAAAAGAAUACAAUUCUAACUCUACUUGUGUUCAGUUGAAUUAUACACAAUGCAAAUAUUCAACAUAAGGCGUGAUGAUGAAGAGAUGUGAAGCCCCGAAGUGUCUCAUACGAUUUAAUUCUUUCAAAGACUGCCCAUUAAGAUUAUGUAAUAAUACGUGCAAUAUAUUUUGUGCCUAAAACACAGAUUAUAUAUGCAUUGAUUGUUUAAGAUGGAAGCAGUUUAGACCACGUUAUAUAAGUGUUAUAUGCAUGUACACAUAUUUUAGGUCGUCAAUCACUUUCUAUAUCUAUACUCUAAUUAGAGACGUAAAAUGGAUGGUAUAAAAUACGUUAAUGCUAAUCUUUUCUUUAUCAUAUUGGAUUCUUCUUAUAUUGAUUAAUUAUAUUGGGGUCUUUAUUAAUUAUUGUUUGUUUGUUUGUUUGCUUAUUUUUGACUUAUCCGUUGCUUGUUGCAAAGGUAAGUUUGGUUUGAUGCAUGCUAGACGACGAAGACGUCACCUAUAUAUCCAAUCCACGAAUGAGUUUUAAAGAUUAAUACGUUAAAAGGAAAAAAAUGACCUUUUGGCAAGCAUCGAGCCCUUGUUGCAGUCACAUGUGAAUAAUGUGUGCUCCCCAUGAAUAUUUGAAAUUUGUUUUGUUUAGUUCGCGUGUUGACUGAUUCAAAUGCUUUGUACAAUUUUGAGUUAAAAGAAUUUAAGAAUCAAAUUAGACCAGAAUUUAGUUUCUAUCUAUUAUUUAUAAAGGAUUCAGUAUAAUUUUAUAUUGUGUCUUAUGGACCCAUUUAAAUUUUUCCAAAAAAAAAUGAAGAUAUAUAAUAUAAGAAGAUAAUGAAUGAUGAUGAUGAUGAUGAUGAUGAUAAUAUCUCUGUUUUUUAAGAUAUUGUUGAGUAAUGAAAAACUAUAAAUUAAUUUUAUUUACAUAUAAAAAAAAUAUAAGACGUGUGAAGAUCCUGAUAAGCUGAUAACAGAAGCUUUACAGAAUACUCCCCCAAAGAUCUUGAAUUAGAAUCAACAAGAUGCCUCACAAAUCAAUUAGAAAGCUUAACGAAAUAAUGUUCAAUUAACUAAGACUAAGAUUGUGUUUAGAAACAAACAAAGAAUUGAAUCGAAAUACAAGAAAUCACAGAACACAGCUAGCUAACGUAGUUCAGUCAAUUUGCAUUGACUUACAUCCACGGGGGAACAAACGCAUCAACUUUAUUGAUAUUGCUCAAGUCUUGAUUACAGAGAUUACCAAGCACUCAAUAAGAACAAGAAAACUAUCCUCUAUAUCAAGCUUUCUUUCUCUCGUUAUAAUGCUCUCAGUCUCUCGUCAACUCUCUCUUUCUCUCAACUGUGUACAACAGCUUAUAAACCACCUCAGAGGCAUUUCCAGAAACACACGUGAUGAUCAUGUGGAAUAACGGCUUCUUUAACAACCUUCUUGUUUGCACGUGUUCUGCUUGUGCUUCAUUAACUCCAAAACAACAAGAUUGUUGGUCGUUCUAACAAGCACUUGAUUUACUUAUUAAAACGCAGUCUUCGUAUGUCGUUUUGCUUAAGUUAUAGUGCAUCACAAAACGCGAGUCAGCACUGCCGUUUCAUCCUCUUUGAUUUGAUUCACUGAAUACACAACAAAACUCCACCUUGAAGCAAAUCAUCCCUGAUAAACUUUCUCCUCAUUAUCGUGUGCAUUUCUCAGGAGCUGCACACUCCAGUCAAAUCCAAACAGAGAUUGAAUUUAGCUGUAGGUACCACAUUUGUAAGCAUGUCAGCUGGGUUACUGUCACUGUGAACUUUAACCAUUUUGAUGACUCCUUUAGACACUUCAUUCCUGAUAAAGUGUAGCUUCACAUCAAUAUGUUUGGUUCUUUCAUGGUGUGCUGGAUUUCUUGCUCAGAUAGAUUGCACUCGAGCUGUCACAAUGGAUAUCAACAGACUGUUGCUUCUUGCCCAAUUCAGCUAACAUACCCUUAAGCCACAAUGCUUUUUUAACAGCCUCUGUAGCUGCAGUGUAUUCAGCUUCUGUAGUUGACAAAGCUACAAUAUGUUGAAGGUUUGCUUUCCAGUUGAUUAGACAGCCAUUUAACAUGAACAUAUAACCUGUUAAAGAUCUUCUUCUGUCAUUAUCCCCUGCAAAGUCUGAGUCUACAUAUCCACAUAGUCCAUCAUUUUCUCUCCCUGAUCUCCCAUAUUGCAGUCCAAUCCCCAAGGUACCCUUUAAGUAUCUUAGGAUCCAUUAUAUUGUUUGUUUGUUUUUUACUUAUCCGUUGCUUGUUACAAAGGUAAGUUUGGUUUGAUGCAUGCUAGACGAAGGAAGACGUCACCUAUAUAUCCAAUCCACGAAUGAGUUUUAAAGAUUAAUACGUUAAAAGGAAAAAAUUGACCUUUUGGCAAGCAUCGAGCCCUUGUUGCAGUCACAUGUGAAUAAUGUGUGCUCCCCAUGAAUAUUUGAAAUUUGUUUUGUUUAGUUCGCGUGUUGACUGAUUCAAAUGCUUUGUACAAUUUUGAGUUAAAAGAAUUUAAAAAUCAAAUUAGACCAGAAUUUAGUUUAGUUUCUAUCUAUUAUUUAUAAAGGAUUCAGUAUAAUUUUAUAUUGUGUCUUAUGGACCCAUUUAAAAUUUUCCGAAAAAAAUGAAGAUAUAUAAUAUAAGAAGAUAAUGAAUGAUGAUGAUGAUGAUGAUGAUAUCUCUGUUUUUUAAGAUAUUGUUGAAUAAUGAAAAACUAUAAAUUAAUUUUAUUUAUAUAUAAAAAAUAUAUAAGACGUGGAUAGGACUGCUACUAAGUAAAUCUAGCUAACUAAUUAGAUUUGUUGCAGACUGGGAUACAAGUUCUAGAACUUUAAUAAAUGAUAAUUAAAUUGAUCUUUUUUCAUUCUCAACGCUAUGAUUUUCAGUUUAUUAUUUUUGAUAUAAAAGAGAUGUGGUGUAUACAUGUCAUCGCCAAUCUCCAAUACCAAUUCUCCAAAACUGAAACGAAGAAAGUUGAUAUUGAUUUAUUAUUUUUAAGAAUUUGAAAAUUUUAGGUAAUGAUUUGGCCGCUAUAGAGCUAAAAUAUGAGUAAAUAUACUUGUUUUAUCUUUUAAGAACCAGUCGAUUAUAUGAUAUGAUGGCACUGAAGCACCAAAUUUCUUGUUUGGAAUGCUCUUUGAUACCACGAUCACUCAAAUAAUAUUAUUAUUUUUUAAAGAAAAAAAUAUUAAAAUGUGACAAACUAUUGAUUCAAUCAACAAAGUCUGUUACAAAUAUAACAUUAGAUUAAUUUUGCAUUUUGGGCCUGUUCAUGGGGAUUGCUAGUUAAUGACAGCAUUACCUAACAACUUUUACUAAAUUACAAGAUCUACCAUUUAUUUAGUUGUUAAAGCUGUUGUCUUUUUUUUUUUUUCUAGUCGUGGCCAUUUAUUUAGUUGUUAAAGCUGUUGUCUGUUAAAGCUGUUGUCUUUUUUUUUUUUUCUAGUCGUGGCCUACUUCUGUCAUGUCAAAAUUCAGUUUGGUUUAGUUAAUGCACGUAGACCACCAAAUCUGUGAAGUAAAAUUGCCACAAAGAAAUACCCACCCGGCAUCUCCACCAUCUAUGCUAGCCAAUCGUUCAUUCACCAUCAGGCGCAAUCUUUGCUACAUUAAUAUUGACAUUUGAUAACAGUAGUACAUGCUUAGCUUAGCAGGUUUUGUUACGUCACUUUUCUUCAAUUAGCUACAGCUUUUUUCACUCGUCUUCACAAAUCACAACUGCAUGGCACUUGCCAUAGCCAUUUUUUCAAAUCGUUAAAAGGAAUUUUGGUGUCUUUUAUUAAAAAUUUAGAGAUCUACAUAACUAUUUUCCAAAUCGUGUAGAUAUCACUUUUCCUUUUGUAUUUUGACAUUCCGUUUGAUUGAAAUUUCUGUAAUACCUUGACUUAUGUGUAUAUAAGUCAUUAUGUUAAGAAUAUAUAAGUUAAUUAUUUUGUUGGGCCUAAACUAAUUCAAAGCCCACACUAACAGUUAAAAAAAGCUGAGCCUAAUAGCCUCUUUAUACAUCACUAAAAAUAAAAAUCUAUUAUUUUGUUGGGCCUGAACUAAAUCAAAGCCCAAACUAAUACUAAUAAAAGCCAAGCGCAUUAGCCUUUAUACACACGCGCGUAUGGGGGCAGAUCAGCAGCCUCCUAAAAUUAUAUCUAUUUUUAUAUUAAUAAAAGAAUAGUACAUGUACCGAGAUGAUGCAACAAUUAGAACGUAAGACUCUUCUUAAAUUAAUAAAUAACUUUGCUAAAAUAAUUUUUUUUUCAUAGUCCCAAAAAAAUAUAUAUAGAGGUUUCUUAGAAUAUUUAGAUAUUAAAAACAAGUAACCAUAGAGAGGUCAAAGUAAAUUUACCUAAAAAAAUUAAGCUUAGCUGUAAUAUGGGACACUAAGAAAUUAGUUUAAACAAACAUCACAUACUAGCAAUGGUCAACAAAAUUUUAUAGCAGACCUAUUAAUUAAUUUAGGAUAAAAUUUAGAAAUUAAUUUUUAGAAAUUAAUUUAGACAAAAUUUCUAAGUUAUUAAUAGGAGUAAACAGUUCUUUGAAAUUAGUAAUAUUAAUACAUUAAGAAAAAACUUAGAUUGUAUUGAAGAAAUAUUAUCAUAUUCCAAUAGUCAAAUUAAGAGAUCCCGUAAUAUAAAAAGAAAUUGCGGAUUUAAAUAUAUUAUUAGAUAUUAAAACUCCUAAACGAACUGAGUUAGAAAUUGGAAUCAUAGUUGAUUUACUAAAAAUAGAAACAGAAAAUAUUACAAAAACACCAAGUAACUUGCAACAACAGUUGGAUUCCGAAGUACAAUACGAAUAGAAUAAGAGAAAUCUUAAUAAAAAAUAUUAUAUGUAAAAUUGAGAAUAUUGAUGAUAAAAUUAAAUAAUAUUAAUAGAAAAAACAAUCAAUCAAAUAAUUAAUUGUCUCCAUUUUAAUUACGAAUUGCGAUAGAUUGAUUGUAAAUCAAUAUAAUAAUUGAUUGACCCAAUCUUUGUUAACAAUCAUUGUUCCUGAAUUAUAUACAUCAAUUACAUCAUUUUCUUUUUCAUAUUUCAAAUACUUAUAUAAAUUAAGCCUUUGUACUCACGAAUUAAUAAGAGUGAAAUUUAUGUUUCCUCAAUAAUUCUCAGAAGUUUUCACUAUUAGGGGCGAGAGAGAGUUUUGUCGGCCAGCACUAUUGAUUUGCAUAUAAGAACAAACGUGUCUGUAAUUACAAAGAAAGAAAAUGAUAAACUUUGCUUCUAGAAUCGCUUCAAAUUCAGAAAAUUCAAUAAGAAUUUUCGGAUUCUUAGUCCAAUACUCUUCUAAUAAAAGUCAAAAGGAUUUUCUGGAGUUGGAUUCAUUUGAUUGGCGGUGGACAAAUGAAGCUCCCACAGCGGCGAGUGAUUAUCUGUGAAGUGAUCUCAAUAAGAAUUAUUAAUCUUUUGGUCGUUAAGAUUCUGAGCAUACUUUAGGAGAAAAAAUUUCUACAUUUUAGUCGGACUAAGCAGUUCUUUGAAACUGGUGAGUGGUUAUGGUAGUAUUAAUAAUUAAGAAAAAACUUAGAUUGUAUUAAAGAAAUAUUAUGAGAUUUCAGCAGUCAAUUUAAGCAAUUCCAUAACCGGAGAAGUCAAAAAGAAGAAAUGGUGGAUUUAAUGAUUAUUCAGUUAUUUUGGGUAUUUUAAUAUCUAAAACAGAUCUUCAAUAUAUAUAUAUAUAUAUAUGAGCACAAAAUAAAUUUAAAAACUGUUGGAUUCUAUAAGUGCAAGACGAAGGCAGUCGGCCAAUCAAUCAAAGUUAAUCGUGAAAAGGACAUCGUGUAGGCUGCUCUAACUCUUCUCUUUUUUUUAUUAAUAUAUUUUCAGAUUUAUAAAAAAAAAAAAAAAAAAAGGAUUGCUCAUUGAGUGCUACGUGUCGGGCGAUUAACUCGCUCGCUCGGGCGGGCGAUUGCUCAGACAACAAUGUCGUCCCAUUAUUAUACCCACUACUCUCAAUGUAUUUACACUCAAAAUACUAUUUAUUUCUCUGUUACAAAAACAAGAAGAUUCAACAAAAUUUAUAACUACUUAUAAUUGUGAUGUCUUCACAGGUCACAGCUGCUGCAAUUGUUAUAGAUUCAUAUGUAAUAAUUGUUAUAGAUUCAUAUGUAAUUGAAAAAAAAAAAAAAAAAAAAACUCAGUAACUACAACUUUGAGUAAUGUAGAUAAUCUAACAAAAAUUUGACAUAAUCCUCCAUAGACCAAGUAUAACAUAUUUGGUUUAUUAAUCUUUCUUUGUUCUCCACUUUCAUGCAAGUAAAAUAUGGCCAUUUGGCCACCUUUUAUGCUUCUCCACAUUUGAACGUGUAUAAUAUUUUGGGCAGCAUUCUUUUGCACCAUCUCAUUUUUUCCAGACUGCAAAAGAUUAUAAAAGAUUCAGUAAGUGAAAAAUAAAAUGUACAUAUUCAACAGCUUUAGCAUAAAACAGGUAAGUAACUGGAUCUCAAUAAGAAUUUUCGAAUUCUUAGUCCAAUACUCUUCUAAUAAAAGUCAAAAGACAGUUGGAUCUACAAGUGCAACACAACAGCCAAUCAAUCACAGCUAAUCAGGUAGAUUGCUCAUUGGGUGCUACGGUUCGGGCGAUUAGCAGCAAGUAUCCAGUUUUCUCGUUUGCUAGCAUCCACAGACAACAGAAUCAUCCCAUUUUUUCAAUAUUAUUUUUCCCACUACUUUAAACAUAUUUACACUCAAAAUAUCAUUUAUUUCUCUGUUAAAGUACUAAAUUACCCCUCUCAUUUUGUUUGUUAAUAAAAAAUUCUGAAAAAUCAUACAACCCAAACUCUUACAAACCAACACUCUCAAUUGUUCAACUGAAACAAUUUCGAUUUAUAAGUUUCAUUGUCCCAAAUGGUUUUUGGAGUACGGUUCUAUUACAAAAAGAAGAACAUCCAACAAAAUUUAUGGCUACUUAUAAUGAAGCAAUUUUGUUCAAAGUACAUUGAUUAUAAAAAUAGUUCUCCUUUGUGCAUUGAACAUUUUUCCAUCGGAGAGCAAAGCCUUGCCUUGAGAACUUCUUUAUAGUUUGAAAGUAUCUAGAAGUCUUAUUGUUUGAACAUAAAUAUACUCCAACCUAUAUCUAUAAAUAAAUGUCAUUUCGACAUUAAUAAUAAAUUAUAACAAUAAAUAAGUAUUUAAAGAAGGUUUUACCAUCAUUAAACAUUGUUAAAUUUAGAACCAACAUCUGAUAAAUAUUCACCAAAAAAAUACUUCAAGGAUUCAUAAUCUUCCUUGUAGCGGUUGAGACUAUAUUUUCAUAUUAAAACUUUCACAUACAAAUGCUCUUCACUCGCGUGGUGCUUUUGAAAGUGAGAACUGAGCCAUGUUUAUAAAAUAUUAUCAUAUUCUUAUAGUCAAAUUAAGAGAUUCCAUAAUAUAAAAAAGAAAUGUUAGAUUUAAUAUAGGGUGAAGAUAUUUGAACCCAUCAAAGUUCUAUUUGCACCCAUACUUUUAAAAAAUAUUUUUGCUGCUAAUAUAUCCCAAAUGUAAAUUAUGAUUUUAGACAUUAGACAAGACGAUAAAACUAAAGAAAAAUAAUUUAAUUCAUAUGCUCUUCUUUCAGGUUUCAACAGCCGCUUAUAUUGUGCUUUCAAUCUCGACUCAUGAAGCCAAACAAAACAAUAAUGUUUAUUGUUAGGCACUUUGAGAUAAGCUUCAAUGUGAAGAAGAAUUAAGUGUCAUGUAGAUUACAAAUUGAAGUUUGUCUGCAAGAUAAAUUUCCUACCAAGACAAGAUGAUAUCUAGUUACAAAGUACAUGAAACCAACAAAAAAUAAUUUCCAGCAAAGAUUUUUUUUUAUUAACUAUGAUAUUUACUUUUUACAGGUUUUUUAUUUUGAUUUGUUAUGAACACAAACAAGUUAGACAAUGACUAGAGGCAUGUAUAUAGGCGAUUUAUUUAAACUCGUCUGGAUGUAUUGCAAACGAAAAAUUCUUUAAAUCGAAUUUGUUAGUUUCUGUGAUUGAUUCCAAUCAAAUACUUGUUUAGAUGAUUGAUACUUAUCCAUAAUAUUUUUAUAUUAAAAAUGAGUUUAUAUUUGAAGGAAAUUAAUGGGUGUAGUAGUUAGUAUAUUUAUGUGUUUAAAAUAAUCUAAGAGCAUAUUUGGUAUUAAGAUGGAUGAAUAGAGUGAAAUCUUAAUUUUCAUAUUUUAGUAGUGAGCUUUUUUUUUAUAAAUAAGUUUAUAAAAUAUUUUAGCGGAUUCAAAUAAUCUCAUCCUUCAAUAUAUUAUUACAUAUUAAACCAACUGAAUUAGAAAUUAAAAGCAUAGUUGUAUAUAUAAUAUUAAAAGCUAAAACCCAGCGAGCUAUUAGCCUAUUACUUCUGAAUUGACAGUAUAGGUCUAAUGUCAUUGCUUCGGCAUGUAAAAAGGAAAUUAAAAUUAUGUAUGUGAACAUAUAAAAUGAAAUGUGAAAGUUAAUACUCAUUUUUUUUCAUAAGUCACGGAAUGGCACAUUUAUAAGGGCCGGCAGACCAUCGAAAUUUGGAACUAUAGUGAAAGAAAGCAAAACUCAAAGAGGCCAAAUAAUAAAUAUUACAUGUGCGGGGUAAAAAAAUAAAUAUGUCGAUCUUAGUUCGCUCUUGCCUCUUGUGAAGUCUGUAGCGUGCGUUUGACGCGCAUUCGAAGCGUGGUACUGAGGCAAUCCGUAAUCGCUUUUUCGCUUUUCGGCGAUACGGGGAUAGUUGGAAGCGCCACGUGCAUACUAGAAUAAGCAACGUAACAGGCGUUGCUUGGCAGGGAGCGCCGCAGAUUCGGUCUCACAAAAUAUCAAAAUAUAGUAUUUUUUUAAUAUAAAAUUUAAUCUUAAAAUAAAUUUAUAUCCUCCUUUUUUUUUUUUUAUUAGAAAUAAACGUAUGAGAUCAUUACAUUAAAAUCUCGGUAAACAAAUACUCAAUAAGUUAAUAAUAUUGAUAAUAAAAUCUUUUCGUCUCCUCUUAGGUUAAUAUAUUAAAUUAAUAAUAUGGCUAAAUACAUAGAUAAUAAUGAAUAAUUAGUCAAACAAAAAUUACUAAUAAGAAAUAACAUAUAAAAUUCAUAAUAUUAACAGGUCUAUUCUUGAGAACUUCAAUUUCUCAAAUCAACUCUUUUUCAAAAUAUACUUCUUAUGAUUUGAAGCUAAAAUUAAAACUAAUUACCGAUGUAUUUAUAGAAUUUAUGUCCUAUAUACUUUAAGCAUGUAAAACACUUUGCCUUUUUGGGCAUUAUUUUUAAAAAGUACACACAUCAUUUUGUGCCUAUAUACAAUGUACUUGCAUUAACUUUUGGACUUUUAUGUCCAUGAUCAUAACAUUAAUUAAUAUUUUUGUAUAUACAUUAUCUCUUAUGAAAUUCAUACAUAAAUCUUCUUAGUCAAAAGAAUAGUACAUGUACCAAGAUGAUGCAAAAACUAGAAUAUAAAACUCUUCUUAAAUUAAUAAAUAACUUUGCCAAAAUAAUUUUUUUUCAUAGUCCCACAAAAAUAUAAAGAGAUUUUCCUUGAAUUCAUAGAAUAUUUAGAUCUUGAAACAAGUAACCAUAGAGGGGUCAAAGUAAAUUUAUCUAAAAAAAUUAAGAUUAGUUGUAAUAUGCGACACUUAGAAAUUAGUUUAAACAUAUACCACAUACUAGCAAUGGUCAACAAAAUUUUAUAGCAAAUCUAUUAAUUAAUUUAGGACAAAAUCUAGAAAUUAAUUUAGACAAAAUUUCUAAGUUAUUAAUAGGAGUAGACAGUUCUUUGAAAUUAGUAAUAUUAAUACAUUAAGAAAAAAACUUAGAUUGUAGUGAAGAAAUAUUAUCAUAUUCCAAUAGUCAAAUUAAGAGAUCCCAAAAUAUAAAAAGAAAUUGCAGAUUUAAUAUAUUAUUAGAUAUUAAAACUCCUAAACCAGCUGAGUUAGAAAUUAGAAGCAUAGUUGAUAUACUAAAAAUAGAAACAUAAAAUAUUACAAAAACACAAAGUAACUUGUAACAACGGUUGGAUUCCGUAAGUACAAUACCAAUAGAAUAAGAGAAAUCUUAAUAAAAAUAUUAUAUGUAAGAUUGACAAUAUUGAUGAUAAAAUUAAAUAAUAUUAAUAGAAAAAACAAUCAAUCAAAUAAUUAAUUGCCUUCAUUUUAAUUAUGGAUUACGAUAGAUUGAUAGUAAAUUAAUAUAAUAAUUGAUUGACCCAAUCUUUACUAAUAAUCAUUGUUCCCGAAUUAUAUAUACCAAUUACAUCAUUUUCUUUUUCAUAUUUCAGAUACUUAUAUAAAGGGAAAAAACUUGUUUAGUCUGUAUAUUAUAAUAUUAGUGUCUAUUUAGUUCCUAUAUUUUUAAAAACACCUCAAAACGUCCCCGUUGCUAAAUAUUGACACCCGGGCCAUUAUUUUUUAUUCUUUUUAGCUUACUUUUACAAUAUUACACUCUUACAGUAAUGUUUUUUUUUAAUAUUAUUAAAAAAAUUCGAUUAUCAAAUUACACCUUUUUAAUAAUGUCUAAAAAAAGAAACAUUAUUGUAAUAGGAUAAUAUUGUAAAAAUAAGUCAAAAUGAACAAAAGAUAAUGGUAAGGGUGUUAGUAAUUUAAUGACAGGAUGCUUUGAAGUAUUUUUAAAAAUAUAUAGACUAAACGGACACUAACUUCAAAAUAUAGGGAUUAAACAAGCUUUUACCCUUAUAUAAAUUAAGCCUUUGAGCUCAUGAAUUAAUAAUAAGAGAGAAAUUUAUGUUUUCUAAAUAAUUCUCAAAAGUUUUCACUCUCAGGGGCGAGAGAGAGUUUUGUUGGCCAGCACUAUUAACUUGAAUAUAAGAACAAAAGUGUCUUCAAUUACAAAGAAAGAAAAUGACUUCAAAUUCAGAGCAUCUUCUAAAUAAAUAUAUUGGGCAAGCAGCAAGUUGCUUUUUUUUUUUUUAUAAAUAUAUUGGGCAAGCAGCAAGUUGCUAUUCAGAGCAUCUUCUAAAUAAAUAUAUUGGGCAAGCAGCAAGUUGCUUUUUUUUUUUUUCUACUUUUAAAAUGUUUUGUAAGUACAAAUCUAUUCCAUGCGCUUCUAACCUAUUUCCUAGUUCAAUAUUAUUAUGUAUUUUUUAUUCAUUAGUAGAAGAAGAAUUUAUGAUUAAAGACAAGGAACUGGCUCUCAAUAAGAAUUUUCGGAUUCUUAGUUCAAUACUCUUCUCUUCUAAUAAAAGUCAAAAGGAUUUUCUCAUUUUCUGGAGUUGGAUUCACACUUGUCUGUGAAUUGAUGCAUCGUUUUUUGGAUCUUUGUGCCACGGUGCGGGCGGUUCGUUUCGCCUCUGAUCAACCACUUGGAACUGGACCCACGUACUAGCAAUGACGAGAAUUUUAUUUUAGACCACUAAUUAAUUUAGGAGAAAAGACAAAAUUUCUAGGUUUGUAGUUGGACUAAGCAGUUGUUUGAAACCAGUGAAUGGUAGCAUUAAUAAAUAAGAAAAUACUUAGAUUGUAUUAAAGAAAUAUUAGCAGAUUUCAGUAGUCAAUAAUUUAACCGAUUCCAUAACCAGAAGACAAAAAGAAUAAAUAGUGGAUUUAAUGGGUAAUCAGUUAUUUUGGGUAUUUUAGUAUACCUUAAACAGAUCUUCACAGAAAAUAGAAAGCAUUAAACGAACACAAAAUAAAAUUAAAAACUGUUAGGAUUCUAUAAGGGCAAUACGACAGCCAAACAGUCAAAGUUAAUCAUGCAAAGCCCUUUUGGUUGGUAGAUUGCUGAUUGAGUGCUACGUUUCGGGCGAUUAACGAUAGCUCUAGAAGUUUCAGCUGAACAAACAUUUACAAUUUGUUUCUGAAUAUCAGGGGAUGUCAUUUGGAGAUUUGCUAGAGCAUUGUUGAAAAUAACACUUUUAAUUUCAUCAUUGUGAUCAACAAGAAAUCGUAGAAGCUCAAGAAAGUUUCCUCUAUUGUUUGAGCUUUGAGAUUCAUUAUUAUCACGAAAUGCAAGAUCUUGUCUCAAAAGAAAUCAAAUGCAAUCAAUUACAGCAAUUAAACAAACUCAGUACUUCCUUUUAAUUUUUUUUAGAAUGGUUAAAGCAAAAUGUGGCAACAUGUGCCUUCUGAUUCAUCAAUGAUUCACAACGACGCCUCGCUAUGUUAUGAGCACUAUUUGUACUUGUACCACCAACAUGUUGUCUCAACAUUUCUUUUUUCUUCCAAUUUCUAAACCCUUCACCAGUAAAACAUAGACCACCCCAUUGACUACCAUUUUCUUCUCUGAAAACAUAACAGUAAAGACAAAAAGCUGCAUCCUUGUUUAUUCUAACCAAUCAGGAUAAUUAUCGAACCAACUCCGGACAAAUCAUCGUGAUUUUUCUCCUAACGGCCUAGUAGGAAAAUCAUGGCUCUAAGGUUGAAAAAGACCCAUUUGCAAGUAUGAUCUCCGAACUUCGUCUUGAAUAUUAGGAUCUAACUUUGAAAUUAUCGUUCGUAAACCGAGAUCCCUUGGAAGAUCAUGCAAAUUAACUCUAACUUUUUCUUUUGAAUUGCCACUUAUUUUUCUUGAUGAGGUUGCAAUUGUUGAAUUCUUUCUUAAAUAUUUAUCCAUGGCUAUUUAAAUAAAUAUAUUUAUUGAAUAAGUAUGAUAUUCAUUGUUCAAAGAAAAUUUUCAACAUAAAUAAAAAAGAAUAUACAUGAAAAUUACAGUUACUGAACUAGACAAAAUAUUAUGAGUCUUCAUUAAAAAUUCAGUGUACAGGGGGUCUAUUGAUCUUAAUAACUUAAUUUGUUCUUAAAUCUUUUAAUAAUGGCAAAAAUAUUCAUAUAUGGCAACACAAAAAUCAAACAUGGAUAUAUAAUAAAAUUAAGAAUUCUAAAUGGAUAAAAUAACAAAAUAAUAAAAAAUUAGAAUUAAUAAAUUUAUAAUUUUAAAACUCAGACCAUACAAACAAAGAAAAGUGAAAAGUGAGAAGAAAUUCAGGCACACGGUGACUAGCAGUCGAGCACUGCUAAUUGGAUAAUCUGCUGUGGAGUCCACACACCAUGACACCACACAUUAUUCCAUGAAAGAGACGAAAUCUGCUGUGGAGUCUACACACCACACUUUAUUCAAUGGAAGAGACGAAAGAAAGAAUAAAGUUCAGACUUCACUUGCUUUAAUUGAUUUUUUCAAAGGAUUUUGGAAUUCACUUGCUUUAAUUGACCUUUUUAAUGGAUUUCGGAAUUCACUUGCUUUAAUUGAUUUUUUUAAUGGAUUUCGGACUUCACUUGCUUUAAUUGAUUUUUUAAUGGAUUUCAUUCCGUAAAAAGCGGUUUUCUUGUUGUCUUUAUUAAUUUUUAUGAAAUUAUAAUAACUAAUUAAAUUAUUUAGAAUUAGACAUUUAAGUUAGGGGUAACAUGAAUUUUUUUUUAAAAAAUUACAUGUGGCACUUUCAAAAUUCCACAAUUUAGGUGGGACAUUUUUAUAAAUAGUAAAUCAAAUAUAUUUUUUUAAGAUAACCAUCAAAAGAAAUUUUAACAGGCCCCAGGUGGUCCUAUGCUAGCUACGCCCGUGGUGACUUGAGAGUUGAGACUAUAUUUUCAUAUUAACACUUUCACAUACAAACGCUGUGCGUUCGCACAAGAAGAGAAAAGCAGUUUUUACUAUUUGAACAUAAAGGUUAAAUGGCAUAUGACUUAAAAAUAAUUAAUAAGUGACGGAUAUAAAGUUGUUGCCGGUGAAAGGUCGGUACAGGUGUUCAAUUCUUAGAAAAGCGAGCGCGUACCGGAGGUGGUCCCACGUAUCUAAUAUUAAAAUCUAUUUGUCUCAAAUCUUAAUCCUCUAAACAAAUCACUAAAUCAGUCUCUGUAAGCAAAUACACAUCGCAUGCUGAAAAUGGGAAAAACUAAUGAAAAGUGUCUGUUCUCAAAGACUCUCACCAAGACAGACAUUAACAACAAAUUUUCGGUGAAAAGCAAGAGCCUUGCAUCCUUCCCUCCCUUUGGAGCUCAAACGUAUGCUCAGGAUUUUAACGCAGAGGAUGAAGAAGGGAAGAAAUGGCUGUUUCGCUUGAUAAUUCGUAAGGGAAAGCACAAGAAGCCUGUUAUAUCUGCUGGUUGGCGCAGCUUUGUUCGGCAGAAGAAGCUUAAAAUUGAUGACAAAGUUUUGUUUUUUAAAGAACAAAACGAAGCAGAGAUUGCAACUGGGGGCAAGUACAAGAUCAAAGUGCAGAAAGCAGUCAAGGUGUUUAAAGCUAUUAUGGGCUACGUACCAUGCAUGGGUUAGGAAAUAUUUUUAUAUUUUAUCUCAAUAAAGUUGUAAUUCUAUUUUACAAGGGUCAAUAGAGCCAGAUAAGGGCAUGUUUCGCACGUUUGGAUUAUAUAUUUGUUUAAGUUGUAAUUCUAUUUUACAGGGGUCUAUAAGGGCAUGUUUGGCACGUUUGGAUUAUAGAGUAUUAAAAUCCUAUAUACUAUCUCAUGUUUGGUGGUAAAAUCACUUUUUGUUACUCCUCAUAAAUUUAUUAUUCCAGUACACUUAAAUCCGCAUAAAUUUUCAUUACUUUUUAUGUUGAAGCAUGUCUUUUUCUUUCUGGGUUUGAAUACUUUUUUUUUUUUUCUUUUCUUUUGCUGCUAUUGUUGUGGGUGGCUACUAAUUUUGUCAGUACUUUUUAGUUGGCUUCAUGAGUUGUUGUUAUAUUUUUACUUGCAAUUAAAUCUUGUUCAAAAUCUGAACAAAUAGACUAAUUUUGCUUUUGAGAAAAUUAAUUAAUUAGUUAAACAAGUAAUUAAAAAAUUAAUUAACUAAUGCGAUUAGACGGAGAAGAGUGGAGGUAGGAUUUGGAACAUGAGUGUGGAAAUUUUACUGGAAAGUACUGAUUAACUUUCUCAUGUUUUGAAAUGAUAGGUCACUUGAAGACUUUUAGUUUUCUAGCUUUUUGGACCAUAAGUAUUCUCAUAUGCUUGUGUCGUACGUUGGCAUUAUUCCCAGGUUUUUUGUAGUUUUGGACUUGCAUGGAGGCUUAAGGUGCGAUUGGAAUCAUUUUUUUUAUUGAGCGUUUUUCUUUUUAUAAAAAUUAUAAAAUAGAAAAUGCGUUUGGCCGGGCGGCGUAGCUAUAAUGAGAAAGUAUGGAGAAUAAAAUAUUUUCAUUCUCUAUCUUUGCUUAACAAAUGCAGAAAAAAAUAAUAAUAUUUGCGUUCUGAAUUUUGUUUUCUAGUCUGCAUGCAAUGCAUUGAGUGUAUGAAAACCACACUUAGGUGACUUUUUACCAUUAAAAAAAUUAUAGACCCAAAAAGAUAUUAAAUAUAAAUAUGAAACUUUAGUUUAAAAAUGAUAAAUACUCAAUAAAUUUUAUUAUGUAAUAUAGCCUCUGACAGCUAUGUGCAGCCAGCAAUUCCUUUGCUUCGGUGGUCACUAUCACCAUUGGAGCAUGUUAACGAAGAAUUUCUUACGGUCCAAGGAGUUGAGUAUGGGUAGGUGAUUGCAACUAGACAGAUGCUCAUUGGUAGUUACAGUUCUUUCUCAAUUAUCAAUUAAUUGAAUGGAAACAGUCUCUUCCUCACAAAAUAUGAGUGGAGUAGGUACCCCUCGAAUAUUAGAGAGGGUUUAAAAAUAUCUGGGCAUAUACUUUUGUGUGUCAAUGUAUGAUGGUGGUCCCAGUUAUAUAGUAUGAUUGUAAAUACUAAUUGUAAUGUCUGAUAUAAUGUCAGUAAUAUCUGUGUAUAACAGACUUCAAAAAAAAAAAAAAAACUAGACAGAUGCACAAAAGUCAAUAAUAAUAAUAAUAAAUUACUAAAAUUUAGUAAUAAGUGCAUAAUUAAGCAUGGUGAUAUCAUAUGUUAUUGGAUAAUUAAUGGGAAUCAUAUAAUAAUAAAUUACUCUGUCCGCAUCAUCAAAGCUAACAACUUUUUUUUACGACCAUUUUUGGGUUAGAUGUGGGAAGUUUCCAAUUUCCAGUCAAAUCUGUUGUUGUAUUUGACGAAUGAGAAAAAGCAUAAAAGCCGACGAAGGAAACAAUUAUCUACAGAUAAUCUUUUAGGAGAACCCAUGUGUUAAGAGAACAUUAGGUCAUUGUGACAUAUAUACAAACAUAUGUGGACUACAUGUCAGAGCCAAUCUUCAAUCCACUUUCAAAGUCUUUGGAAAUUGAGGCUAAGAAAACCGAUAUUGAUUUAUUAACUUUAAGAAUUUGAGAAUUUUUGGUUAUAAUGCGUUUCCUUUAUAAAUGAAAGUUGAGUAAAAUAUACCGGUUUUGAGAAUCAGCCUUUAAUACGAUGGUAACCAAAAGCAAACUUCAAUAUUCCAUUUGGGGGGAGUUUGGUUACUAAGAGAGUACUGAGAAAAUUUAGCUGUUUUGGAUAGAAAAUUCUCCGAGGGUUAAAUAGAGUAGCUUUAAUACAGUAAUUUUUUUUAAAUUAUUUAAUGCAAUGAUAUAAUAUCAACGAGGGCACUCCUGCAAUUUUAUAUUUUGGGUGGAUUGCUAACUUGCUAGUGAUAAUGUCAGCAUGACCUAUCAAUUUUACCAAUUUACAAAAUCUACCUUUUAUGAUUUGUUUAAGCUAUUGUUUUUUUUUCUCUCUCUCCAAUGUUUUGAUCUUUCUUAUCAUGUCGUUGAAUUUGUCCUAUAAAUUGAAUUUUUAGACCAAUGAAAUACAAUUAUUCCCUCCCAUUCGUCUUUUCUCCAGAACUGCAUCCAUCCAUCAUAAAGAACAAUAAAAACUUCACGGCAUCAACCAUCAAAGUCCUUAUUAAAUGCCAAAAAAAAUGGACCCUGAUAGGAAUUCACUGAUGUGAUUCAUUUAUUGCCCCCAAGGAACACAAAGUUGCUACCCAACACUUUUUUUCUCUCUAGAAUCGAAAUUUCUUGCUUGCGCACCAAAUAUGUCGAUCGUAGUUCGCUCUUGAGUCUUGACUCUUGUGAAGUCUACAGCGUGCGUUUGACGCGCAUUCGGAGCGUGAGACUAAGGUAAUCCGUUAUCGCACAUUCGCUUAUCUCAACUGAAAAGGGACAGGGAACACGGGAUAGUUGAAAGCCCCACGUGCAUACUAGAAUAAGCAAAGGUAACAGUCGUUGCAUGGCAUGGCGGGGAGCGCUGCAGAUUCGGUCUCACAAAAUAUUAAAAUAUAUAGUAUUUUUUUUAAUAUAAAAUUUAAUCUUAAAAAUAAAUUUAUAUCCUCCUUUUUUUUAUUUAGAAAUAAACGUAUGAGAUCAUUACAUUAAAAUCUCGGUAAACAAAUACUCAAUAAGUUAAUAAUUUUGAUAAUAAAAUCUUUUGGUCUCCUCUUAGGUUAAUAUAUUAAAUUAAUAAUAUGGCUAAAUACAUAGAUAAUAAUUAAUAAUUAGUCAAACAAAAAUUACUAAUAAGAAAUAACAUAUAAAAUUCAUAAUAUUAACAGGUCUAUUCUUGAGAACUUCAAUUUCUCAAAUCAACUCUUUUUCAAAAUAUACUUCUUAUGAUUUGAAACUAAAAUUAAAACUAAUUACCGAUACAUCAUUUUCUUUUUCAUAUUUCAAAUACUUAUAUAAAUUAAGUCUUUGUGAUCAUGAAUUAAUAAGCCUUUGUGAAAUUUAUGUUUUCUCAAUAAUUCUCAAAAGUUUUCACCAUUAGUGGCGAGAGAGAGUUUUGUUGGACAGCACUAUUAAUUUGCAUAUAAGAACAAACUUGUCUUUAAUUACAAAGAAAGAAAAUGAUAAACUUUGCUUUUAGAAUCGCUUCAAAUUCAGAAUAUCUUCUAAAUAUAAAGGGCAAGCAGGAAGAUGCUAUCUUUUUCUACUUUUAAAAUGUUUGUUAAGUACAAAUCUAUUCCAUGACCAUGCGCUCCUAACCUAUUUGAUUCCUAGUUCAAUAUUAUUAUGUAUUUUUUUUUUUCAUUCAUUAGUAGAAGAAGAGUUUAUCAUUCAUUAGUACUACAUUUUAACAAACUGGGCAUCAGAAAAUUAUAAACUUAUCUAGGAAGAAAAUGAGACUAUUCCCACUUUUUGUUUACUUUCUAUAGCUAGCAACAACAUCUCGACAAGUCUUUCAGAAAAAAAUAAAAUCAAAUAAAAUAAAACCUUAGCAAAUAACUAUAGAUUUCUUAAAAGAAAAAAUCUAAAAUUUAAGCACAAAAAUGUUAAUAAUCAAUACUACUCAAUGAAGAGAUUGAUGCUGAAUCAAUACUACUCAAGCGACUAUCACAUCUAGCUGACGGAACUUCAACUUUUCACCUUGAUACUGUUAGGCGAUUUUGAUGUUUUUCAUUUCUGAAGAUUUAUUAGAUUUCGUUUCGGAAUUUGACGAAAUUUUGAUUUUGAAAGAGAGUAAGCGAGGUUUCACUGGGUUUGGAGAAGGGGCGCAUUUAAAUGAAAAAAAUUAAUUACAAAUAAAUCUUGGCCAUUAGAUUUAAUGAUGCCACGUGUCAAUAGAUCUCUUCAAAGAUAGGAACUAGAGCGUAGGUUCCACGUAUUUUAAUCUUUUGAAAGACAGGAACGGAGCGAGUGGUCCCUUUAAUCUGUCCCAAGUAUUUUAAUAUUAUUAUAUCUAUUCUAUAAAGGAAAAUGAUGUUUGCCCCGGGUCAAAUCCCGGGUCAAACCCCGAAAAUAACGUAAACGGCGUCGUUUUGAUUAUUUUUUUUUUUUUUGGAAUACUCCAAAACGACGACGUUUCUGAUGAUAUUUUGAGAAGAAUAAAAUCUUUCUUCCUCUUCGUUUCUUCGUUUCACCUGCGAAAGCAACAGAGCAACAGAGGGAAGACAUCCCAACUUGGUCUUGCGCUCAAUGGCUUCAGAGAUAAAACCUGUCGUCAGUUUCCCUCUGGAGAAUUUGUAGAUUUUGUCAUUUGACACAAACAAAUUUAUACAACAAGCAGUUGAAUUAUACACAUGAGUUCUGAAAGUCAAUCACAGUUGUAGACAGCUUUACACUUCGUUGAUGGUAAAUUAUCACUUGAAAGCGAACCUCAGCAGCUAUAAAUGUAAAAGUCCUCCACUUUUUUCUUCUUUAAAGAGUUGUUCAAAUUAUAUACUUAGUUUAGUUUGUAUCUCAAUUAACACAAAAACUUGUGGGUUGUGCUUGACCAAUAAAUAUCUAUCAUUCUGCAAUUUGCUACUGUGGAUUUUGCUGGGAGACCCACCCACUUCGGGAAAAUACACGACCACUGGUUUUAAAGCCAAAAAAAGAAAAAAAGAAAAUGUUAUGGAAUUCAUCAUACUUUAGACCACUGCUGUUGGUCUUGAGUAGCCGAAACUCAGCUGUUGUUGGUCUUGUUCUUCACUAAAUGCAAGGGCUGUGGAUCUCGUUCAGGUUAAGACGAAGAGGAUGGAGCUUUAAUUAGUAGAUCCUGUUCUGCUGUCGACUCAAGGGCUGUAGAUCUAGGUCGAGGAUGGAAGAAAUGAAAAAGAAAUGAAGAAAGGAUGGAAGAAACGAAAAAGAAAUGAAGAAACAAAAAAGAAAAAAAUAAAGAAAACGACGCAAAUAAGAAAUCGAGAAGAGAACGAAGAAAAUGAAGAAGAAAUGGUUCAGCUGGGUUAAAGACAGAGGAAGAAGAAGGCUGCCAUUUGUCCACCAAAAUGACUUCGUUGAAAGCAAAUCAGAAUAAAUAAAAAAUUGAAGCAGAAACGUCGUCGUUCAAUAGCACUUGAAAACAAAAAAAAUUACGAGCCAAAACGGCGUCGUUUGACGCAUUUUCGGGGUUUGACCCGGGGUUUGACCCGGGGCAAACAUCAGCACUCUUCUAUAAAUAACAAAUCCGUCUCCGUAAGAAAUACACGUCGCAUGCCGAAAAUGGGUGAAGCUAAUGAAAAGCUUCUGUUCUCAAAAACUCCCACCAAGACAGACAUUAACAACAAAUUUUCAGUGAAACGCAAGAGCCUUGCAUCCUUCCCUCCCUUUGGAGCUCAAACGUAUUUUCAGGAUUUUAACGCAGAGGAUGAAAAAGGGAAGAAAUGGCUGUUUCGCUUGAGAAUUCGCAAGGGAAAGCACAAGAAACCUGUUAUAUCUGCUGGUUGGCGCCGUUUUGUUCGGCAGAAGGGGCUUAAAAUUCAUGACAAAGUUUCAUUUUUUAUAGGACACAACGAAGCAGAGAUUGCAACUGGAGUCGAGUACAAGAUCAAAGUGCAGAAAGCAGUCAUAGUGUUUAAAGCUGUUUCAGGCCAUGCACCAUGCAGUGGUUAGGAAAUAUUUUUACAUGGAGGCUGCUAAUUUACAACUGUUGUAAGGCGCAGCCGCUCACAUAAACAGUAUUUGGGUCCACAGUAUAAAUAAUAUUUGGGCCUGUAGUAUUUUUAUAUUUAUCUCAGUAAAGUUAUAAUAGUUGCAAAUUCUGCAAUCUAGCCUUAUCCUAAAGUUGUAAUAAACUUAAGAUAAACUCAAAGUUACAUUUUGUGUACCUUAUACCCGCUCACAUAAAUGGUAAGUGGGCUGCUGGAAUAUAAUUAAAGGGGAUCCUAAACCUAAAGUUGUAACAAAAAAGCAGCCAAGGCGUUUAAAGCUAUUAUAAGCUAUGUACCUUAGAACUGUUAAGAAAUAUUUUUAUAUUUAUCUCGAUAAAGUUAGUAAUAAAGCAUUAAAUUUGCACCAUCUCAAGUAUAGUGGUAAAAUCGCUUUUUAUUACUCCUCAUAAAUUUAUUAUUCCAAAUUCCAAUACACUUAAACCCGCAUAAAUUGGUUUAUGCCGUAUCGCAUUAGAUAAUUAAAACCCAUAAAAUCUCUCUUUUUUAUUCCAUCAAAACACGAUCCAUCAAGCAAAUCCAACAUUCGUUUAUUCAUCACCGAGUCACCACCGAUGCAAUUACCCCCAUUGCUCGAUGCCAUCACCGUCGCCAACAAGUGCUUCGUCGUGCCGCGUGAGACUUCCCAUCUGUUUCACCACUGACGCGCCUGCACUUUGCCGCUGAAUCAUCAAUCAACCGGUUAGUAUUUGGGUUUGAUUUUUCAAAUUGAACCACAAUCAGUUUAUUUUUCAUUACUUUUAUGUUGAAGCAUGUCUUUUUCUUUCUGGGUUUGAAUAUAUUUUUUUUUUUGGCUGCUGUUGUUGUGGGUAGCUAUUAAUUUCGUCAGUACUUUUUAGUUGGCUUCAUGAGUUGUUUUUAUAUUUUUACUUACAAUUAAAUCUUGUUUAAAUCUGAGCAAAUAGACUAAUUUUGCUUUUGAGAAAAUUAAUUAAAUAGUUAAACAAGUAAUUAAAAAAUUAAUUAGUUGAUGCGAUUAUACGGAGAAGAGUGGAGGGAGUAGAGAUGGAGAACAGGGAAUUGGAGGGGAUUUGUAUGUAUAGUUGGAUGGUAGGAUUUGGAACGGUGUCGUCUACCUGUACAAAUCUAAGAUAUUCCAUGAUAUUUAGGAAUCAAAAUUUAAUCUAAACUUCCAUAUGAGUGUGGAAAUUUUACUGCAAAGUACUGAUUAACGUUCUCAUGUUUUGAAUUGAUAGAUCACUUAGACUUUUAGUUUUCUAGCAUUUUGGACUAUGGUAUUCUCAUAUGCUUGUCUCGUUGACAUUAUUCCCAGGUUUUUUUUGGUUUUGGACUUGCAUAGAGGCUUAUUAUAUGCUUUUUGGUUUUGAAUUUGCACAAAGGCUUUCUCAUAGCUUAUUGGUUUUGGAUUUGCACAAAAGCUUUUCUCAUAGCUUUUUUUUUUUUUUUUUUUGAUAAGAGAGUGAAUCUUUCAUUCAAAAUAGGAAAGUACAUCAGGAGGAAAGUUGUCCUUCCAUGUGACAGAUUCGGAGCUUCUCAAAGCUCUUUCAGCAAGAGAUUGAGCACAACUGUUACAACAUCUUGAUACAUGUUGAAUUGUUAUCGGUUGGAACUUUUCCAUGUAGCUUUGAAUGUCUGAAAUAGCCCACAAAAUCUCCUUCCUGCUACUGGUUAUAUUGUUGGCUAAGUUGACCACUUCCAUACAAUCUGUUUCAAUAAUCACUGCCAAUAAUCCUGCUUCUAUUGCCAUUUCCAUCCCCCGUUUUACAGCCUCAGCUUCUGCUGCUGAAACAUUCUCUUGGGGCUUUGUGUUUUUUACUGCUUCUGUCGCUACAACUUGGCCUUGUGAAUUUCUAAUAACAACCCUGAUUCCUGUAAGCUGUGCCCCUGCCUGAACAGCUGCAUCCACAUUGACCUUGUAAUACCCGAUAGGUGGAGGACACCAUUGUUUUUGCUUGCUAACACCAUCUCUUCUGUUUAUCUGCUCCGUUUCAUGCACUCUUUGAUAAGCCUCUAUAGUAGCUUUUGCCUUUGCAAUUAAUGUUACCGGGCUUAAUUUUCUGCCUUCGAAAAUAAACUUGUUCCUAGCAUGCCAUAUUUCCUUCCAGACUGUUACCACAAACUCCACCUCUCUCUUGGGCAUCCAUCUCAACAGGCUCAGUAUAAGGCUUAGAAUAUCUUCUCUCACCAUUCCCUGCAAUUCAGAAUCACCAUAAUUGUAUUUCCAGACCUUCGUAGCCACCUUACACUCCAUAAGUGCAUGAAAGACAUCCUCUACUCCUGUUUUACAGAUUUGGCAUGUUGGCUCCUGUUGAACUUGUUGGUACUUCAGCAUACUUGAGCUUGAGAGCUAAUUGGUAACCACUUCGCACUGUCUAUAUUCCUUUUUUGUCAUAGUGCCAUAACCAUUCAUCAUUCUUAGGCCAUCUUGGUAGGGGAAUUCUCUUAAUCAUCUCUGAAUCCUCUUUUGCAAAGUGCUUCUCAAUCAAACUAUUCUUCCAUUGGUGAUCUGCGCCUAUUAAGUCUACAACUUUGGUAUUUGCUGGUAGAGAUGGAGCAAAAAUUGGCCUAAAAGUGGUCGGCCUAGGUUUCCAGUUGCUGGCCACAACACAAAUUUUAUCUCCUCUUCCAACUCUCCAUCUUAUCCCCUGCUGCAGAAUUUCUCUACCUCACAAAAUGCUUCUCCAAAUAAAGGAUGGAUUAGAACCAACUUUGGCUUCCAUAAAAUCAGUUUGUCUGUAAUAUCUAGCUUUCAGCACUUUGGCCACUAGUGAAUCAGGGUAUUGUAAUAAUCUCCAGCCUUGCUUUGCAACUAAUGCCUGGUUGAAGCUUGAGAGAUCUUUAAAACCUAUCCCCCCUCUGAUUUUAGCCUUACUAAUCUUCUCCCAUUUUGCCCAGUGAAUUCCUUUCUUGUCAUUUGUUGAACCCCACCAGAAUCUCGCAAUUGCUCUCUGAAUGUCAUUGCAAAUAGCCAAAGGUAUUUUGAAGACACUCAUGGCAUAUGCAGGGACUGCCUGAGCUACAGCCUUGAUCAAAACCUCUUUUCCACCACUGGAGAAGAAUUUAUGCUGCCAAUUCGAUAUUUUGCUCAACACUUUGAGCUUAAUAUCAUUGAAAAAGCUGGUCCUAUUUCUUCCCACCAUGGAAGGCAGUCCCAAGUACUUCUCAUGUCUUGAGACCACAUUCAGCUGAAAAAUGUCCUUUAUUGCUGCUAUUUGUCCCUGUGGGAUUUUACCGCUGAAAAACAUUAAUGACUUGUCACAAUUGAAGAGCUAGCCAGAGGCCGAAGUAUAGUACUCGAAAAUUGCUUUCUCAUAGCUUUUUGGUUUUGGAUUUGCACAAAGGCUUUUCUCAUAGCUCUUUGGCUUUGGACUUGCACAGAGGCUUAUAUGCUUUUCUCAUUGACAUUUAGAUCCAAUUUCUAAUUCUUUUUGGAUUUACAGUGUUCUGAAAAUCAUACCUUUUGCCACAAUAUUGAUGCUGCAAAUCAAUCUGAAAAUGCAUGCUUAAGUAAUUAACAAUAGCUUUUUUUUUAAUAUCAUGAAAUUAUUUGAAUAUCAAUACUCAGUGUGAAAAUGCAUGCUUGAGUAAUUGAAAAAAUAUUUUUUUUUCUUUUUAUUUGUUGUUUUCGAUAUGGACAUGAGAAUAGAAGUUUUUUUCGUCACAUGGCAAACGAAAUUAAGGUUCAUGUUCAUUGUGAUGUUUUUUCUCCAUGUUUACUUUAUCUGCAUUAAGUGAUGCAGAUAGUUGGCAAUAUGGUUCAAGCUGUAGCAACUGUGUAAUGAUCAUCCGUGUUAUUGAUCCAAAUAUAUUCAUAAUGAUGUAGUAAGGGAUUUACUUUUGUUUAUAACAUUGCAAACUUGAUAGAUGUUUGUGGGGAUAGCCUUUGGAAGAUAUCAAUUCGGGGAAUUUCCUCAAGAGCCUGCAAGAGGCCUGACUAUGUUAGAUGAACAAGUUGAAGAAAGGAUGCUUGACGUAUUUGUUUGAUUUUGGGAAGAUAUAUGAUGUUAGAGAUCAAAUCAAUAACUCUUUCAGCCAAGCAGACUGAGAACUGAUGCUAGAGAUGUUUCAAGAGGUUCUUACGGUUUGGAAAUGGUAUUAUUUUCCAAUGGAGGUCCUCUAAUUCAGAUUUGCUUACUGUUGAAAUAGUUGUGGAUGGUAGUUAGAUCUUUUGUCAUAUGCAAAUUCAGCAAUGUGUAACUUUAUCUACAUGUAUUGAAUCUGCAACUAAUUACAUGUAAUGAAUCAUUGUGUUGUAAAUGAUGUAAAAUUUUGCUGUUUGAGAAGUGUGUGGCUGAAGCUUAUGGGAGGUUUCCUUUGUGAAAUUUGAUGCACAAAUUAUUUGAUUGAAUGAUUUGAUUCGGUUUUUAUUUCAUAGGCUAUAAAUUUGAAAAAUGCUGAAAAAAUAAAUGUUAUGUUGCUGAAAAUUUAAGGUCAUAGGCUUUAAUCUUUUUGAAGAAUUAUGAUUUUUUUAUGUUUAUACUAAAAAAAUAAUGUUAAAUUUCUAAAAUUUAAAAUUUUUAUAUUUAGUGCUUUUCUAAGUACUAAUAAAUAUUAUUUUUUAAUUUAAAUUAAUCAUCAAAUAAAUUAAUACAAUCCAAUACAAAAUAUAAUAUAACUCAACUAAUAGUAGGCUUUGGUUUAUUUCAAUAAAACAGAUAGAGCAUACAUAUAUCUUCAUUUUCAUAUUUAUUCUCUACUCCUUUGUCAUCGGAGAGGGAUAAAGUGUCUAAUAGCUGUAGCUUUAGUUAGUUCUUAUAGUAUUAUAAAACUUUUUAUAUUGUAAAAUUUUGUUGAGCCCCUUGUACUUUGUUUUAUUUCAAUGAAACUCUUGGAGUACUAAUUUGCCCCCUAUAAUUUUGAAUUCCCAAAAUACCCUACAUUUAAUUAAUAAUUAACAAUAAUUACUAUUAAUAAUUAAUUUUUGAAUAUCAAUAACAAUAAUUAAAAUACAAAAUAAUGAUUAUGAUAAAAUUUAAUGAAGGAUUUUGUACUAAUUUGUUACAAUUUAAUUUAUUCUGAUUUUGAUUCUAAGACAAAAUAAACACAUAAAUGGUAAUACAAUUCAUUCUAAUUAUGAUUCAUGCCGUUCAAGUAAAUAAAUUAUUCUUAUUCCAAUUCCUCAUUUGGAUUCUAGAUACUUCGAUUCUAACUCAUUAUGUUUUCAAUUAAUUUUGAUUUAUGUUUAGUGAAUGAUAAAAUUCAUAAUACUUAUUAAACAAUGUAAAAAAUAUAGAGUGGUCUCACUAAAUAUAAAGUGAUUUACAAUUUUAUAGUGCAUUCACUAAAAAUGAAUCGAAAUUAGCUGGAAAUAUAGUGAGUUAGAAUUGGAAUAGCUAGAAUUAAAAUGAAAAAUUGGAAUCAGAAUAAUUUAUUUACUUGACCUGCAUAAAUCAUAAUUAGAAUAAAUUGUAUUACAAUUUAUGUGUUUACUUUGUCUUACAAUAAAUAUUGGAAUGGGUUAAAUUAUAACAAAUUACUAUAAAAUCCUUAAUUAAUUUUAUUAUAAUUAUUAUUUUGUAUUAUAAUAAUUGUUAUUGUCGUUAUUAUUAUUCAAAAAAUAAUUAUCAAAUAUAAUCUAUUUAAUAAUUAUUAUAUUUUUAAUUAAAUGGAGGGUAUUUUGAAAAUUUAAAAUUAUAGGGGGCGAAUUGGUACUCUGAAGGUUUUGAUUAAAUAAAACAGAGUAUAAGGGGCUCAACGAAAUUUUACAAUACAGAAAGUUUUAUAAUACUUAUAAAUAAUUUAUAAAUAAUAUAGAGUAUAAGAGGCUAAUUGAUAUUUUACGGGUCAGCCGUGAGUUACGGUAAAUGUAACUUACGCGGACCCGAUUAUUGCACGUUUGUUUCUUCUUUGUUUUGGCAGAUAUAAUACAGCCUCUGACAGCUAUGUGCAGCCAGCAAUUCCUGGCUUCCAUGGUCACUGUGACCAUUGGAGCAUGUUAUGUUAGUGGAGAAUUUGUUACAGUCCAAGGAGUAUUGGUAGGUGAUUGAAACUAGAGUACCAGAACUAGUAGCUGGUGUUGUCUUAAGAGAUGCAAAAAAGUAAAAAAUAGACGGAAACUUUAAUAUAUAAUAAAUUAAUCUUUUCAAUUCUCAGCGGUAUGACUUUAUCUGUAUUAGGUUUUUUUUUUUUUUUUUCCUCUAAUGUUUUGGGGGGAAAUUACUUUUUUUUUUUAUUAUUACAUUGUUGUCGUAAUAAGAUGAAGAAACUAUAUAUUUUAGGCUUUGUAACUUAUAGAGGUUAUUUAAUUUUUACAAAACAUUAAAUUUCCAAAACACUCUUUUUUUGUUUCAACAAUUUUACUUCAAUUUUAUCAUCAGAUAACCUGACAAAUUUUGUUGCACAUUAAUGUUCUAUUGCAGAGGCGGAUCUUAAAUAGUCGUUGCCUUUCGAGUCUCGCAAGUAGUAACGAGACAAAAUAAAGAGCAAUGAAAAUUUUCAAUAUUAUGUAAAUGUGUUUACGAUUUUAUUUUCUUUUAAUUUAGUAAUAAGUGUAUAAUUAAGCAUGGUGAUAUCAUAUGUUAUUGGAUAAUUAAUGGGAAUCAUUUAUUAUAAUAAAUCUGUUGUAUUUGGCGACUGAGAAACAGGAUUAAAGCCGACAAAGGAAACAAUUAUCUACAGAUAAUCUCUUAGGAGAAUGUGUUAGCAAAUCUCAGGUCAUUAUGACAUACCGACCAUAUACAAACAUGGGCAAAGUUAUGUUGCAACAUGCGUUUGGUACCUCUCUCUUUUGUCUUUUUCAAGGUCAAUUAUAGUAGUAUCCUGUUAUUUAUUAUAAAAAUAAAAAUGUUAAAUUUUUUUAAAGUUUUACGCAUUAGUCCUACACCUACAUAGCAUCAUUUUUCUCAUCCAUUUUGCACCAUCAAUGACAUCAUUUUUUCAUCCCUUUUAAUUAAAAUAUAAUUAAAAUUACUUUCCAUAUAGAAAUAGAAUAAUAAAAUAAAAUAAAAUUUAUUCUUUUUUUAAUUAAUUAUAAAAAAAAAAGAUAUUUUGUAUUAAAAAAUAUAGACAAUUACUAGUUAUCAUUGUUUCUUAUUAAUUGAAAGGGGACAUGAAGGGUUUCAUUAGACUUGAAAUUGGAUAAUUUACAUAAAGAUGGUUUCAAUGCUAGCAAAUGACAAUAUGUAAAGUUGCAAGCUCCUUCUAAAAUAGCUGCAACAAUAACUAUACCACAAAAACACAAAGAGUUACAUUACACUACCACCUUUUUUUUUUUUUCUUUUUUU